RNAcentral lists this unclassified non-coding RNA (526 nucleotides) under Hevea brasiliensis (rubber tree). Lineage: Eukaryota; Viridiplantae; Streptophyta; Magnoliopsida; Malpighiales; Euphorbiaceae. The record is from RNAcentral.
UUAUGAUCCUGAGAAAGAAGAGCUGAGGUAUGCUGGAAGACUCUUUGUAAAGGGAACGAGUAAUCCAACUGAAAUUUUGAACAAACUAAAUGAAAUGGCUGGCUAUGCCCCUGAUCAAGAGAUUGAACUAUAUGAGGAAAUAAAAUUUGAACCGAUUGUCUUGUGUGAACCCAUUGACAAGAAAUUUGCUUUCCGAACGAACCAGCUUGAGGAUGGUGAUAUAGUAUGCUAUCAGAAAUCCCUUUCUCCUGAAAGUCGCCAGAAGUUACGGUAUCCAGAUGUUCCUUCUUUCCUGGAGUAUGUUCAAAAUCGCCAGGUGGUUCACUUCCGAUCCUUAGAAAAGUUGAAGGAGGAUGAUUUCUGUUUAGAGCUGUCAAAGAUUAAUACAUAUGAUGAAGUUGUGGAAAGAGUAGCUCAGCGACUUGGCUUGGAUGAUCCAUCCAAAAUAAGGCUCACACCCCAUAAUUGUUACUCUCAGCAACCUAAACCCCAGCCAAUCAAGUACAGAGGUGUUGACACCCUUGGA